UUCUGACCGUAAACGAUGCCAACUAUCGAUCCGCCGGGGGACACAAACGCCCUGGUGGGGAGCUUCCCGGAAACGAAAGUCUUCCGGUUCCGGGGGAAGUAUCGUUGCAAAGCAAAAACUUAGAGGAAUUGACGGAAGGGCACCACCAGGAGUGGCGCCUGCGGCUUAAUUUGACUCAACACGGGAAAACUCACCCGGCCCGGACACUGUCAGGAUUGACAGAUUGAUAGCUCUUUCAUGAUUCGGUGGAUGGUGGUGCAUGGCCGUUCUUAGUUCGUGGAGCGAUUUGUCUGGUUUAUUCCGAUAACGAGCGACACUCCCGCCUACUAACUAGUGCUCAUAUUGCACUGCUGUAUGCGCUCACUUCUUAGAGGGAUCGGUGGCGUCGCAGCCACACGAAACGGAGCAAUAACAGGUCUGUGAUGCCCUUAGAUGUCCGGGGCUGCACGCGCGCUACACUGGCGAAAUCAGCGUUCCUGUCCUCUCGCGAAAGCUACUGGUAAACCGGUGAAAAUUGUCCGUGCUUGGGAUCGGAAAUUGCAAUUAUUUAUCCGUGAACAAGGAAUUCCAAGUAGGUGCGAGUCAUCAACUCGCGCUG
This 598-nucleotide ribosomal RNA is filed under the name unidentified nematode. RNAcentral describes it as "bacterial SSU rRNA". It matches the Rfam family "Eukaryotic small subunit ribosomal RNA", at positions 1024 to 1643 of the family's 1831-position model. The record is from RNAcentral. Lineage: Eukaryota; Metazoa; Nematoda.